UUGGCGGUCCUUCAACGUCGAGUAAUCCUUGCUCAAAUAUCUACAAGGGCACCAGGGCCUUUUCCGAGCCUGAGACUAGAGCCGUGCUGGUCGCUAAUCUGCAAAUAAUGAAGAAAUAUGGGCGUGAAAUGUUCCCUCUCCACUUGAGCUUCCACUCCUACGGUCAAAUGAUCCUCCGGCCCUAUUCACAUACACUGGUGCCACCUCCUAAUGUCCGAAAUUUGGAUGCGUUGGGCAAUGUUAUGUUGGCAAGUCUAAGGAGCUCAGGAUUCUCUUAUCGUUAUGGAACCAGUGCCGACAUUUUGUAUGCGGUGGGUGGAGCCUCGGCCGAUUGGGCUUAUCACUUUGGGGUUCCGUACACGUAUAUCAUUGAACUCCCACCACUGAAUUCAUUCAUAUAUACGCCUUCCAACAUCCAGCAAACUUGCGAGCAAAUUUGGAACAUGCUAGUGGCAAUGACUGGCCACUUAAAAGUCCAAGGUUACUAACACACCGAACGGGAAGAGUGGUUGACCUUGGACCCCGUUUGAUCCCUUGUAGGCUGGCAAAAGAUGACCCUUCAGCCAUUGUUGCCGGAAUAAGUUGUAAAAUGAUGAGAGCAAUGGAUGGGGAUAUUAGGAUAUUGUAUUAUAAUGUUUAAUAACUUAUAUUCCAAAAUAUGUUUUUUAAAAUAAGGAAAUAAUUCGACCUUUACAUUAACUAGAUCAAUGUCCAUUGACUUGUCAAGCUCAGGCUUGGAUUCAAAAACGAUA
Long non-coding RNA from Tigriopus californicus, 752 nucleotides. RefSeq lists it as uncharacterized. The transcript has 2 exons. Lineage: Eukaryota; Metazoa; Arthropoda; Copepoda; Harpacticoida; Harpacticidae. The record is from RefSeq and is a predicted model, not a curated record.